Molecule: ribosomal RNA, 253 nt
Filed under: uncultured bacterium
Lineage: Bacteria
Description: partial 16S ribosomal RNA
Rfam family: Bacterial small subunit ribosomal RNA
Source: RNAcentral
UACGGGGGGGGCAAGCGUUAUUCAUCAUUAAUCGGCGUAAAGGGUAUGUAGGCGGGUGUUUUGCUUUUUUUAUUGAAAGCGCAAAAUAUAAUUUUUGCACCUAUUAAAAAGUAAAUAGCCUAGAGAUUGCGGAGGGUUAGUAGAAUUACUAAUGUAGAGGUUAAAUGCGCUGAUCUUAGUACGAAUACCGAAGGCGAAGGCAGCUUUCUUCCACGUCUAACGUUGAGGUACGAAAGCAUGGGGAUCGAACAGG